CGAAAAGCGUGACCUAAUACGUCUCGCCUUGACGGUACCUUCUUAGCAAGCACCGGCUAACUCCGUGCCAGCAGCCGCGGUAAUACGGAGGGUGCAAACGUUGUCCGGAUUUACUGGGUGUAAAGGGCGUGUAGCCGGGUCGGCAAGUCAGAUGUGAAAUCUAUGGGCUCAACUCAUAAACUGCAUUUGAAACUGUUGAUCUUGAGUAUCGGAGAGGCAAUCGGAAUUCCUAGUGUAGCGGUGAAAUGCGUAGAUAUUAGGAGGAACACCAGUGGCGAAGGCGGAUUGCUGGACGACAACUGACGGUGAGGCGCGAAAGCGUGGGGAGCAAACAGGAUUAGAUACCCUGGUAGUCCACGCUGUAAACGAUGAAUACUAGGUGUGCGGGGACUGACCCCCUGCGUGCCGCAGCUAACGCAAUAAGUAUUCCACCUGGGGAGUACGAUCGCAAGGUUGAAACUCAAAGGAAUUGACGGGGGCCCGCACAAGCGGUGGAUUAUGUGGUUUAAUUCGAAGC
RNAcentral lists this ribosomal RNA (517 nucleotides) under uncultured bacterium. Its description in RNAcentral is "bacterial SSU rRNA". It matches the Rfam family "Bacterial small subunit ribosomal RNA", at positions 446 to 957 of the family's 1533-position model. The record is from RNAcentral.